GAAAAGAAGCUGACAGAUGUGUCCUGCCUGGAAGACAUCAAAGAAAAAGAAAUAGCAAAAAGAAACUGGACCAUGAAGAAAUUAUUAUUUUUAAAAUAUUGUAAAAAGUAAUGUUCCACAAUGCACAGGAAGACUCUCAUCA
This is a long non-coding RNA of Nothoprocta perdicaria, 142 nucleotides long. RefSeq lists it as uncharacterized. The record is from RefSeq and is a predicted model, not a curated record. The transcript is spliced from 2 exons. NCBI's taxonomy places the organism in Eukaryota, Metazoa, Chordata, Aves, Tinamiformes, Tinamidae.